GACGAACGCUGGCGGCGUGCUUAACACAUGCAAGUCGAACGGAAAGGCCCUGCUUUUGUGGGGUGCUCGAGUGGCGAACGGGUGAGUAACACGUGAGUAACCUGCCCUUGACUUUGGGAUAACUUCAGGAAACUGGGGCUAAUACCGGAUAGGAGCUCCUGCUGCAUGGUGGGGGUUGGAAAGUUUCGGCGGUUGGGGAUGGACUCGCGGCUUAUCAGCUUGUUGGUGGGGUAGUGGCUUACCAAGGCUUUGGCGGGUAGCCGGCCUGAGAGGGUGACCGGCCACAUUGGGACUGAGAUACGGCACAGACUCCUACGGGAGGCAGCAGUGGGGAAUAUUGCACAAUGGGCGGAAGCCUGAUGCAGCAACGCCGCGUGCGGGAUGACGGCCUUCGGGUUGUAACCCGCUUUCGCCUGUGACGAAGCGUGAGUGACGGUAAUGGGUAAAGAAGCACCGGCUAACUACGUG
Molecule: ribosomal RNA, 468 nt
Filed under: uncultured bacterium
Lineage: Bacteria
Description: partial 16S ribosomal RNA
Rfam family: Bacterial small subunit ribosomal RNA
Source: RNAcentral